RNAcentral lists this ribosomal RNA (468 nucleotides) under uncultured bacterium. Its description in RNAcentral is "partial 16S ribosomal RNA". It matches the Rfam family "Bacterial small subunit ribosomal RNA", at positions 28 to 507 of the family's 1533-position model. The record is from RNAcentral.
GACGAACGCUGGCGGCGUGCUUAACACAUGCAAGUCGAACGGAAAGGCCCUGCUUUUGUGGGGUGCUCGAGUGGCGAACGGGUGAGUAACACGUGAGUAACCUGCCCUUGACUUUGGGAUAACUUCAGGAAACUGGGGCUAAUACCGGAUAGGAGCUCCUGCUGCAUGGUGGGGGUUGGAAAGUUUCGGCGGUUGGGUAUGGACUCGCGGCUUAUCCGCUUGUUGGUGGGGUAGUUGCUUACCAAGGCUUUGACGGGUAGCCGGCCUGUGAGGGUGACCGGCGACAUGGGGACUGAGAUACGGAGCAGACGACUACGGGAGGCAGCAGUGGGGAAGAUUGCACAAUGGGCGGAAGCCUGAUGAAGAAACGCCGCGUGCGGGAUGACGGCAUUCGGGUUGUAAACCGCUUUAGCCUGUGACGAAGCGUGAGUGACGGUAAUGGGUAAAGAAGCACCGGCUAACUACGUG